CUUAAGCCAAAUGAGAUGAUGACGUUCUCUUCUUGAAAAAUAGAAAAUAACGACUUGGGCGGUUUCUUUACGAAGGUGGCGAGAUUGUAAUAGGUUUUGCACCCUCUGUUUAGGGAUGUGCACUAAUUUUCGUCUCUUCUCUUCCCCUCCUCCUCCCCUGGCUGGCCGGGGAAUGGAGGAGGAGCACUAGGACGAGGAGGUGAAGGGAGGCGGAGGGAGAGACGACUCGAGCACAAGGAGGCAAGAGACAAGAAGCAGAGACGCAGGAACAGAAAGGCAGCCAGAUGGUCGAUGCUGUGAAGAGGAGGAAGAUGACUGCAGGAGGCGGUGUGUGUGUGUUGGGGAAGGAGACGACGACACCAACCUCACACACAGCUGGUUAAGGCCUGCAAGAGAGCCUAGUCAAUGAAGAGGAAAAGAAGAAGAAAGAAUAAAGAAGACAAGAAGAAAGAAGGAAGAAGAGGCAAAACAGGAGGAGGGGAUUUUUUUUCUGUCUAUACCUGAAGUGUGAUGAAUUUACUAAGGGUAUAUUUAAGCCUGGUAUAACGUACUUUAAGGUAUAUUUAAUGGUACAAGUGUGUAGCCUACUUUUGCCUGGAGUUGGAGACGGUAAAAUGCUCUCCGACUCCUUUAUUGUGGUGCUGUGUGGUUUGUUUACUGUGGUGAGAUGUGGUUCAUUUACUGUGGUGCGGUGUGGUUCGUUAAUUAAGGUGAGGUGUGGUUCGUUUAUUGUGGUGCGGUAUGGUUCGUUAAUUAAUGUGAGGUGUGGUUUAUUUAUUGUGGUGCGGUGUGGUUCGUUAAUUAAGGUGAGGUUUGGUUCGUUUAUUGUAGUGCGGUAUGGUUCGUU
Molecule: long non-coding RNA, 847 nt
Organism: Eriocheir sinensis (Chinese mitten crab)
Lineage: Eukaryota; Metazoa; Arthropoda; Malacostraca; Decapoda; Varunidae
Exons: 3
Source: RefSeq, a predicted model, not a curated record